This 886-nucleotide non-coding RNA is filed under the name Chelonodontops patoca (milkspotted puffer). Its description in RNAcentral is "partial 12S rRNA". It matches the Rfam family "Bacterial small subunit ribosomal RNA", at positions 214 to 1533 of the family's 1533-position model. The record is from RNAcentral. Lineage: Eukaryota; Metazoa; Chordata; Actinopteri; Tetraodontiformes; Tetraodontidae.
GCCCCAGUGAGAAUGCCCUACGCACCCUGUUUGAGUGUUAGGAGCUGGUAUCAGGCACGCCCACAGCAGCCCACGACACCUUGCUUAGCCACACCCCCAAGGGAACCCAGCAGUGAUAAACAUUAAGCCAUAAGUGAAAACUUGACUUAGUCACGGCUCAGAGGGCCGGUAAAACUCGUGCCAGCCACCGCGGUUAUACGAGAGGCCCAAGUUGUUAGCCCCCGGCAUAAAGAGUGGUUAAAACAUCAAACACAAAACUGAGGUCGAACAUCCUCAAGGCUGUUGUACGCUCCCGAGGAUAGGAAGAACAACAACGAAAGUGGCCUCACCAAAUUUGAACCCACGAAAGCCAGGGCACAAACUGGGAUUAGAUACCCCACUAUGCCUGGCCCUAAACAAUGAUACCCCUACAACCCCCAUCCGCCCGGGUACUACGAGCGCUAGCUUAAAACCCAAAGGACUUGGCGGUGCUUUAAAGCCAUCUAGAGGAGCCUGUUCUAGAACCGAUAACCCCCGUUAAACCUCACCCCUUCUUGUUUUAUCCGCCUAUAUACCACCGUCGCCAGCCUACCCUGUGAAGGACUAGUAGUGAGCAAAAUUGGCACAGCCCAAGACGUCAGGUCGAGGUGUAGCAUAUGAAGGGGGAAGAAAUGGGCUACAUUCUCUACCCAGAGAAUUACGGACGACACGUUGAAACACGUAUCUGAAGGAGGAUUUAGCAGUAAGUAGGAAGCAGAGUGUCUUACUGAAACCGGCUAUGAAGCGCGCACACACCGCCCGUCACUCUCCCUUAAUACAACCCACCAACAAUAUAUACACAUAUUACCCACCAAGGGGAGGCAAGUCGUAACAUGGUAAGCGUACCGGAAGGUGUGCUUGGAAAAAU